Molecule: ribosomal RNA, 254 nt
Filed under: uncultured prokaryote
Description: partial 16S ribosomal RNA
Rfam family: Bacterial small subunit ribosomal RNA
Source: RNAcentral
UACGGAGGGUGCAAACGUUGCUCGGAAUCAUUGGGCGUAAAGCGCACGUAGGCGGACUGCUAAGUCGGAUGUGAAAGCCCUCGGCUUAACCGAGGAAGUGCAUUCGAAACUGACAGUCUUGAGUAUGGAAGAGGGUCGCGGAAUUCCCGGUGUAGAGGUGAAAUUCGUAGAUAUCGGGAGGAACACCAGUGGCGAAGGCGGCGACCUGGGCCAAUACUGACGCUGAGGUGCGAAAGCGUGGGGAGCAAACAGGA